RNAcentral lists this small RNA (573 nucleotides) under Pongo abelii (Sumatran orangutan). RNAcentral describes it as "retained intron". The record is from RNAcentral. Lineage: Eukaryota; Metazoa; Chordata; Mammalia; Primates; Hominidae.
GAAGGCGGGGUCGGCGCUGCCGGGUGAAACCGUAGGACAGUGAAGAUGCUGCUGGAAUUGUCCGAGGAGCAUAAGGAACACCUGGCCUUCCUGCCUCAAGUGGACAGCUCGGUGGUCGCCGAGUUUGGGCGGAUUGCUGUGGAAUUCCUGAGACGCGGCGCAAACCCAAAAAUCUACGAAGGCGCCGCCAGUAAGAACAGAAAGGGGACGGCUCCGCAGGCUUCUAGGGCGGUUGCGAGCCAUUCCCUGUCUCCCGGCAGAGAAAGGGAUUAUUGCGACUCCUAGGGUCUUGUUCCGAUUGUAGUAGAAUAAAACCAGCAGAGCUCUUCAGUAAGGGUGCAAAUCCUGCCCGUCCCUUAAGUAGCUGUGAGAUUGUUAAAACUUCUAUUAAAUCAGUUUUUCAAAAUGUACAUAAUACUACCUUACUUUCAGAAAUACUGAAAAGUAUUUUGUAUAAAUAUACCAGUCUGUGGAAUAGCUGGGUCAACUGUAAAUUGCAAGUAUUUGGUUAUCACUAUUAGUUGUUCAGAUAUCCGCUUUUGCUAAAAAAAAGUGUUGUUUUCCCCCUGGGUA